This 682-nucleotide ribosomal RNA is filed under the name uncultured bacterium. RNAcentral's name for it is "bacterial SSU rRNA". It matches the Rfam family "Bacterial small subunit ribosomal RNA", at positions 138 to 807 of the family's 1533-position model. The record is from RNAcentral.
CUGGGAUAACACCUGGAAACAGAUGCUAAUACCGGAUAACAACACUAUACGCAUGUCUAGAGUUUGAAAGAUGGUUCUGCUAUCACUCUUGGAUGGACCUGCGGUGCAUUAGCUAGUUGGUAAGGUAACGGCUUACCAAGGCAAUGAUGCAUAGCCGAGUUGAGAGACUGAUCGGCCACAUUGGGACUGAGACACGGCCCAAACUCCUACGGGAGGCAGCAGUAGGGAAUCUUCCACAAUGGACGAAAGUCUGAUGGAGCAACGCCGCGUGAGUGAAGAAGGGUUUCGGCUCGUAAAGCUCUGUUGGUAGUGAAGAAAGAUAGAGGUAGUAACUGGCCUUUAUUUGACGGUAAUUACUUAGAAAGUCACGGCUAACUACGUGCCAGCAGCCGCGGUAAUACGUAGGUGGCAAGCGUUGUCCGGAUUUAUUGGGCGUAAAGCGAGUGCAGGCGGUUCAAUAAGUCUGAUGUGAAAGCCUUCGGCUCAACCGGAGAAUUGCAUCAGAAACUGUUGAACUUGAGUGCAGAAGAGGAGAGUGGAACUCCAUGUGUAGCGGUGGAAUGCGUAGAUAUAUGGAAGAACACCAGUGGCGAAGGCGGCUCUCUGGUCUGCAACUGACGCUGAGGCUCGAAAGCAUGGGUAGCGAACAGGAUUAGAUACCCUGGUAGUCCAUGCCGUAAAC